AUACGUAGGGGGCAAGCGUUGUCCGGAUUUACUGGGUGUAAAGGGUGCUCAGGCGGAUUUGUAAGUCAGAGGUGAAAUCUUACAGCUUAACUGUGAAACUGCCUUUGAUACUGCAAGCCUAGAGUAUGGAAGAGAGUGAUGGAAUAUCUGGUGUAGCAGUGAAAUGCGUAGAUAUCAGAUAGAACACCAAUGGCGAAGGCAGUCACUUGGUCCAUUACUGACGCUAAAGCACGAAAGCGUGGGUAGCAAACAGGAUUAGAUACCCUGGUAGUCCACGCCCUAAACGAUGAAUACUAGAUGUUGGAUCCGAAUGGGUUCAGUAUCUGAGCUAACGCAUUAAGUAUUCCACCUGGGAAGUACGAUCGCAAGGUUGAA
This 375-nucleotide ribosomal RNA is filed under the name uncultured bacterium. Its description in RNAcentral is "bacterial SSU rRNA". It matches the Rfam family "Bacterial small subunit ribosomal RNA", at positions 523 to 898 of the family's 1533-position model. The record is from RNAcentral.